Molecule: ribosomal RNA, 497 nt
Filed under: uncultured bacterium
Lineage: Bacteria
Description: partial 16S ribosomal RNA
Rfam family: Bacterial small subunit ribosomal RNA
Source: RNAcentral
GAUGAACGCUGGCGGCGUGCCUAAUACAUGCAAGUCGAGCGAACAGACGAGGAGCUUGCUCCUCUGACGUUAGCGGCGGACGGGUGAGUAACACGUGCAUAACCUACCUAUAAGACUGGGAUAACUUCGGGAAACCGGAGCUACUACCGGAUAAUAUAUUGAACCGCAUGGUUCAAUAGUGCAAGACGGUUUUCCUGUCACUUAUAGAUGGAUCCGCGCCGCAUUAGCUAGUUGGUAAGGUAACGGCUUACCAAGGCGACGAUGCGUAGCCGACCUGAGAGGGUGAUCGGCCACACUGGAACUGAGACACGGUCCAGACUCCUACGGGAGGCAGCAGUAGGGAAUAUUCCGCAAUGGGCGAAAGCCUGACGGAGCCACGCCGCGUGAGUGAUGAAGGUCUUCGGAUCGUAAAACUCUGUUAUUAGGGAAGAACAAAUGUGUAAGUAACUCUGCACGUCUUGACGGUACCUAAUGAGAAAGCAACGGCUAACUACGUG